AUUUAGCUUCCUCCUCUUUGCGUCUUCACCCCCAAAUAAUAUCAAAGUUGAACUUGCUCUAAGGACAGUAUGACCACUACGCGCAACCUGUCGGUUGAAUGGGCCAGUUAAAAAGAAAGAAAAAAAAUUGACGAACUGCACCGCAGGUAUCUCAGAAAAAAAAUUGACGAACUGCACCGCAGGUAUCUCAGAACAUGCUGAAGUGAAAUUUUUGAUAUCUUCCUUCCAUUACCCUUUUAUAUUUGCUCCCUACACCUCACUUGUGGGAUUUCACUGAGUAUGUUGUUGUUCCCUUUUAUCUUUAAGACUAAGAUAAUACCUCACGUAAAGGAGAAAGGUUAUAUAACUUACUUCACCAGAUUUAGUGAGACAUGAUGCAGAAAACAAGAUAUUAACUAUUACUUUCUUUUUGAUAAUAGAUGAAAUGGAGUUUGCUUUAUUGUGUUAGAUGAUAAACUGAGCAAUCACUUCUAUAAAGUGAAAAUCUAUGUUGCUCGGACUCGUCAAAAAUGUCAAUGGGUGUGUGUCGGAUUCUCCAAAAGUAGUGUACUUUUGGAGAUCCUACACAGGUACGGCAUCAAAAGUGUAAGAGUCCAUGCAACUUCCACAGAAGCAAAAAAAGGAAUGCGCAAUCAGAUUGCACAGGAGAACUAAGAAGCUUUUACU
Molecule: long non-coding RNA, 666 nt
Filed under: Capsicum annuum
Lineage: Eukaryota; Viridiplantae; Streptophyta; Magnoliopsida; Solanales; Solanaceae
Description: long non-coding RNA (CANN_LNC001686)
Source: RNAcentral